Molecule: ribosomal RNA, 456 nt
Filed under: uncultured eukaryote
Lineage: Eukaryota
Description: bacterial SSU rRNA
Rfam family: Eukaryotic small subunit ribosomal RNA
Source: RNAcentral
CCCUACGGGUGCCGCGUUCGGAAUGAGUACGAUUCGAACCACCUAACGAGGAACGAUCGGAGGGCAAGUCUGGUGCCAGCAGCCGCGGUAAUUCCAGCUCCAAUAGCGUACGUUAAAGUUGCUGCAGUUAAAAAGCUCGUAGUUGAACGUUCGGGUUCCGCGGGACGGGGCCGCCCCGCGAGGGACGGCGCCGCCCCGGGGCUCGUGAUAUCUCAUCUCGCCGCCCGUCGCGAGGCGGACGGAGGGAUGGAUGAGGUUACCUGGAAAAAAUCGGGGCGAUCUAGGCGGGCGAACCUCGCCAACGAACGAUCGGACAUGGGAUAACGGAAGAGGGCGUCGGCUCGACUUCGUCGGUUCCUCGGGCCGAGGCACGUACGGUGAAUAGGGACGGUCGGGGCCGCCCGUACCGGGUCGUGAGAGGUGAAAUUCUAGGAUCGACCCGAGACGAACCGCCGC